GCCGGGUGGGCUUUGCGGUCCAGGAGGGAGGAGGCCCAGCACCCCGUCUCCUAGCAGCACGCCGGCGGCGCACAGCGUACGGAGCGGAGAAAUGCCGGGCUGCUGGGCGGGGACCCAGAGGUUCCCAGGGUCUUCUGGGCCGGGCCAUCCCCAGGGCAGCGGGGAGAGGACAGGGUCUGAGGCCUUGUGUUCACCGCUCUGAGCACCUGGGACGAGGCAUGAAAACAAGUCAGCCCUGAACCUGGAGAACCUGGUGCCUGCCCACCGGAGCAGAGCUCCUGUGACCCACCUCCCCUCCACCUGCUGAAACGUCACUGGCACCCAGCAGGUCCCCGGCCUGCCGGUGAAAAGUACCACCUGCUCCUUCCCGGGCACCUGACUGGACCAGUUUCCGGAGGAUUUUUGUCAACCCUCGGCCUAAAGCAGUUUAUGGCUUACGUGCAGCUCAGCAUGCUGGGCUCAGACCUGGAGCCCCAGGCCUACCUUCUUCUGACCCAGCCGGGGGACCAGGAGCCCAGGAGGCAGAGCCGAGCCCAGGCUCCACUGCCCUCCCGCGGUGAGGCUGGCUCCAGCGCCAGCUGCUGUACUAUCUCAAGACCUCGAUCCAGCUGCAUCACUGCAGUGCCAGGGCCAGCUCCAGAGAGGCCCAGCAAAAACAAGGCAAACGUCACUGGUAGAAAGACAACUGAACCUGGGAAAGCAUUCCUCAGAACCCAAAGCCAGAGGAAGGUCACCAAGGUCAUCUUCUAAACAGCUUGGCACUGGCAGGCACUGAGCUGCGCUCCUCAGGGUCUGGGUGGUCAGACAGGUAAGUACUUGCAGACUGUAGCAGACUGAGCUACCUGGGCAUUUUCUGCCCCACUACCAGCCCAAGCUACUCUCAGAUUCCACUUUUACCCUGAAAUUCUCUUGCUGUUGAGAAUAUAUAUGGUGUCAUAUACGAGAAAUGAGCGGUCUAUAGGCUGACUUACCUCCAUAGACCACUCACAGCCUUGGACGCCUUCUGUUCUCUGGGAUCCAAAGACCAGCUCAGUUUUGCCAAGGAGCACUGCCAUGGGUGUGGAGGCGUGUGUGCCCACCACCAUCACUGUCCUCGAGGACUUCCCUCGUGUCUCCCUGGGGGUGGGUCACUGCCACCUGUGCCCACAGGCACCCCAGAGCACCACUCCUGCAUGGCUCUGACCACUGCAAAGCCAGCCUUCCAUUCAGCUACAAGGGCCCCAUCAAAGAGCCAGGACCAACAGCAACUCCAAGUCCACAGGACCCCAGGACCCCAAGUCCUGUGAACAUUACAGACGCAGCCCUCCGUCAGCAGAGAGUUCAGUGAGCACUCUGGCAGCUCCUUUGGCUCCGAAGUGAAGGGGAUCAACAUGAGCUUUGUCUUCGAGUCCUCCGAUGGCCAAGAAAAGAAGCUGAGCACCCGCCUCUUCUCCCUGACAGCACUUCUGCAGCCCCUCUCAGUGCUCCCCAAUCUGUACCCACAAAAGGAACCAGGAAGCCCUCAAAGCUGCAACCUGGCAUGUGAUGCCCUGCAGAGUCCAGGGCUACUGCUGCCCCUUGCCAUCCCCCAGUGUUCUGGGAGUCGACCUCCUCAAAGUCCCCCCAAAUCCACAGCAUUAGCUCAGCUUCUAGCAGCAUCUGCUUUUCAGUGUGGUUGCCUGUGACUGUCCCACGCAGCCACCAGGCCUGUGUCUCAGGGGUCUGCGGGCACAGCUCCAGCAGCACCUCUUUUUCAGUGUGGUUGCCUGUGACUGUCCCACGCAGCCAGCAGCCCUGUGUCUCGGGUCUGCGGGCACAGCUCCAGCAGGCAGGCGAUGCUGCUCCAUGCCCGUCAGCCUGGAGGAGGACAACAUGCACAAGAGCACCCUGGUCAUCUGAAUGGGUGGGGCGUGGUCCCCGCGCUCAGACCUCUCUGGGCAUAGACCUCUCCUGAACAGGUGCCCUUCAAGCAGCACAGCCAGACCCAGGGGGGGCACGCCAGCGCUCCGCUGCACCAUGAGGACACAGAGGCGGUCUCCUUAGCCCUGGGUGGCUCCUGGGGAUCCAUGCUCAUUAAGCUCGCUCCAGGUCUAAGAUGCUGUGGCUCUGGUCGGACCACCUGGAUUGUGUCUCCUGCCCACCCCCAACCUGCAGUGGCCCCUGACUCCUUGCUUGGCGCUCAGAGCCCUAUGUGUUCGGAUCCAGAGGACUUCCCCAGGGUGCACCGUCACCCUCCCUCCCUUCAGCCUCCCUAGAGCCUUCUUCACCCAUGGACCCCACCGCCCUUGCCUCCUCACAGCCCCAGCCUGCAGUGCCCCUCCCUAUACUCCCCCAUCCACAGUGGACUCACCUCCAAGCCUGGGCUCAGGGGCCACGUCUUGGGCUCCUGGGCACAGCAUGGCCUUUCGGGUCAGAUUGACCUGGGGCCAGUCACAGCCCUGUGACAAGCAAUCUUCCUGGUGACUUCUCAGAGUCUCACUUUGGCUGGGCUUGGUCACUUAGAGCUGAGUGACCCUGAGCAUCCAUGCCAUGGCUCAUCUAUAAAUUUGGGUGAGCUCACUGAGUGUCCAGGAGGGGCUCCCUAAUAACAGGAAUUACCCCCAACACUCACUCGGCCCUCCCUGUGGGGCCACCUCCUCUGGGGGCUCCCUCCAGCCGCUGCUACACCAGCCAGGGCCAGGCUGUACCCGGUGCGUGUCCCGGGGUCCUGCCAGAGAAGGCAGGGAGAGGCGGGUGUGGAGGAGGAGGGGCGGGGGCGGCCUGACCUUCUCCUGCCCAGGCCCGUGUCUACGCUACCUCUAGGCCCCCUGACCCAGCCGUGCACCGCGCUGGCCUCGGGGAGGAGUCUCGGGACCAGGACAGCAGGUUGUGUAUGGGGGGUAUUCCGUGACUUUCAUGUUCCUAGGUCUCCAGCCAGCCUGACUGGAGUAGGGUGGCCCGGGGGUCCCAGGGGUCAUGGGGUCGCAGAGCAGCGGACGUUGGGGCCGUGCGAUAACGGCCGGGCUGGGAGCCAUUGGUGCCCUGAGCUCACGCGCUCAGUGCACCAUCGGCUGAUGCUGAUGUUGGGUCUCGUGCCCGCGCUGCCUGGGGUCUGCAUGUGCGCCGGGAGGUGGACUUGGACGCUAGGCCGGCGGCCCCGCGCUGAGUCCGCACGUGGGAGGGAGGCCCCUUGCACCCCUGAGCGCAUCCUGCUGCACCCACCCGGGGGCCUGGGGACCAGGAGCCCAGGCCGUGUCCACACCGAGUGGGGCUCCCACAGUUCCGUGUCCAUCCCCUCCUGGGACAAUCGGGGGAAUCUGAGAGCAGGAGAGUCGGGGACUGGCCCAGGGCCCGAGAGGUGGGCCGAGUUCAGAGGAGAAGGGAGGGUUCAGUACCCCGAGGCCAGGGUUUGCUUUGGGAAUGAUAGCCCCUAGGAUCCUGAGGGACCCCCUGCACACCUCUCCCACGUGGGGCCCUUUCCUCUGUGCAUCCCCACUUGGGCACAGGUGUGGCGCAUGCGCGACCUCAUGUUUUCUCCCCAUCCAUCUACUAUUCUUGGUAUGCAGAGUACAUUUUUGUAGUACAGUAUAUGAGAAACUUAGCAGUGUUACCUGUGGAAUGGAGCAAUGAGGUAGAUGACAUAAUUUAAAACAUUCUGGAUGUUGUGAGAUUAUUUUUAUAAUACACAUAGCUUUUUUAAUUUUCAAAAAUAGUUUAUACAUUGAAGCAAUGUGAGAAAAGGCACUUUUAAUGUUUCUUUCAACAGGCAAAAAAUGUAGGGCUAACUUUUUGUUUUAAAAGACGUCAUUUUAGAAGUAAUUAUUUUAUUGUUGAUUGUCUAUAGUUGCAGAGAAAAAUUCACAAAUUGUAAAUUAAGUAGAUUACUAUUUAGAAUGUGCUUCACCUGAGCUUGGGAAAUAUUUUGUGACUCUGUAGAUGGGUUUGUUUAUUUCGGAAAUAUAACUGAGGAAAAACAACUGUAUGAUAAAAAAUAGUUACCUUUUAAUUGAGAAUAGUUACGUAUUAGUUACCUAUUAGUAUUCCUUCUAAUACAGAACUUCCAUCUUGUUGAACGGUAUGAGGACUUCGUUUGGGUCUCCUGCCCUCUAGUGGUCAUUUAUCAAAAUGCAGAGAAGCUUGUAUUAGGUGAACCCCCUGAAAUUAUACAACCCAGGUGUGGGGAUCAGGUUGGGAAUUUUGGAGAUUAGAGGAACCUGAGAAAUUUUCUGACUUGAUUUCCUCAUCUUUGCAACAUAAACACCAUGUGUCGAUUACAUAUUCCCUUGAGAUUACUGAUAUAAAAUUCAAUUCUGGCAUCUUUUGACUAUUUGACUUAGUAAAUUAUCCAAAGCUACCGUUAUUUUCUGUAAUUUUUUUACAUAUAUGGUAUAAUCAUAGAUCUUAUCGCUAUUGCAUAAAGGUUGUUUUGCAAGUAAAUAAACACUUUAAAAUGUA
Molecule: long non-coding RNA, 4413 nt
Organism: Balaenoptera musculus (blue whale)
Lineage: Eukaryota; Metazoa; Chordata; Mammalia; Artiodactyla; Balaenopteridae
Exons: 5
Source: RefSeq, a predicted model, not a curated record